RNAcentral lists this ribosomal RNA (465 nucleotides) under uncultured bacterium. RNAcentral describes it as "partial 16S ribosomal RNA". It matches the Rfam family "Bacterial small subunit ribosomal RNA", at positions 28 to 507 of the family's 1533-position model. The record is from RNAcentral.
GACGAACGCUGGCGGCGUGCUUAACACAUGCAAGUCGAACGGAAAGGCCCUGCUUGCCGGGUACUCGAGUGGCGAACGGGUGAGUAACACGUGGGUGAUCUGCCCUGCACUUCGGGAUAAGCUUGGGAAACUGGGUCUAAUACCGGAUAGGACCGCACUUUAGUGUGUGUGGUGGAAAGUUUUUUCGGUGUAGGAUGAGCUCGCGGCCUAUCAGCUUGUUGGUGGGGUAAUGGCCUACCAAGGCGGCGACGGGUAGCCGGCCUGAGAGGGUGUACGGCCACAUUGGGACUGAGAUACGGCCCAGACUCCUACGGGAGGCAGCAGUGGGGAAUAUUGCACAAGGGGCGCAAGCCUGAUGCAGCGACGCCGCGUGGGGGAUGAAGGCCUUCGGGUUGUAAACUCCUUUCGCUAGGGACGAAGCUUUUUGUGACGGUACCUAGAGAAGAAGCACCGGCUAACUACGUG